UCACCACUCAAGCCAUGCUUGACGUUGGGCCCUCGUCCCCUUGGGGCGUGCCCGAAAAUCAGUGGCGGCACUGUCCGGCUUCAAGCGGUAUCAAUUUGUCCUCGCUUUGGAAGUUUGGGACCUGAGCCUGCCAGACAACCCUCCCCCUUCUUAUCAA
Molecule: ribosomal RNA, 157 nt
Filed under: Acarospora schleicheri
Lineage: Eukaryota; Fungi; Ascomycota; Lecanoromycetes; Acarosporales; Acarosporaceae
Description: internal transcribed spacer2
Source: RNAcentral